This 465-nucleotide ribosomal RNA is filed under the name Vreelandella stevensii. Its description in RNAcentral is "partial 16S ribosomal RNA". It matches the Rfam family "Bacterial small subunit ribosomal RNA", at positions 338 to 795 of the family's 1533-position model. The record is from RNAcentral. Lineage: Bacteria; Pseudomonadati; Pseudomonadota; Gammaproteobacteria; Oceanospirillales; Halomonadaceae.
CCUACGGGUGGCUGCAGUGGGGAAUAUUGGACAAUGGGGGGAACCCUGAUCCAGCCAUGCCGCGUGUGUGAAGAAGGCCCUCGGGUUGUAAAGCACUUUCAGUGAGGAAGAACGCCUGGUGGUUAAUACCCAUCAGGAAAGACAUCACUCACAGAAGAAGCACCGGCCAACUCCGUGCCAGCAGCCGCGGUAAUACGGAGGGUGCGAGCGUUAAUCGGAAUUACUGGGCGUAAAGCGCGCGUAGGUGGCUUGAUAAGCCGGUUGUGAAAGCCCCGGGCUCAACCUGGGAACGGCAUCCGGAACUGUCAAGCUAGAGUGCAGGAGAGGAAGGUAGAAUUCCCGGUGUAGCGGUGAAAUGCGUAGAGAUCGGGAGGAAUACCAGUGGCGAAGGCGGCCUUCUGGACUGACACUGACACUGAGGUGCGAAAGCGUGGGUAGCAAACAGGAUUAGAUACCCUAGUAGUC